AUUGAACGCUGGCGGCAUGCCUUACACAUGCAAGUCGAACGGUAACAGGUCUUCGGAUGCUGACGAGUGGCGAACGGGUUAGUAAUACAUCGGAACGUGCCUAGUAGUGGGGGAUAACUACUCGAAAGAGUGGCUAAUACCGCAUGAGAUCUACGGAUGAAAGCAGGGGAUCGCAAGACCUUGUGCUACUAGAGCGGCCGAUGGCAGAUUAGGUAGUUGGUGGGAUAAAAGCUUACCAAGCCGACGAUCUGUAGCUGUUCUGAGAGGACGAUCAGCCACACUGGGACUGAGACACGGCCCAGACUCCUACGGGAGGCAGCAGUGGGGAAUUUUGGACAAUGGGCGAAAGCCUGAUCCAGCAAUGCCGCGUGCAGGAUGAAGGCCUUCGGGUUGUAAACUGCUUUUGUACGGAACGAAAAGCCCCGGGUUAAUACCCUGGGGUCAUGACGGUACCGUAAGAAUAAGCACCGGCUAACUACGUGCCAGCAGCCGCAGUAA
This 498-nucleotide ribosomal RNA is filed under the name uncultured bacterium. RNAcentral's name for it is "partial 16S ribosomal RNA". It matches the Rfam family "Bacterial small subunit ribosomal RNA", at positions 30 to 523 of the family's 1533-position model. The record is from RNAcentral.